Molecule: long non-coding RNA, 1064 nt
Organism: Cyprinus carpio (common carp)
Lineage: Eukaryota; Metazoa; Chordata; Actinopteri; Cypriniformes; Cyprinidae
Source: Ensembl
CAAGUACCACCUAAACGCAAAGCAUCCCUUAGCUAAUGCGGAAGAUGCCGGGCCAAGCAAUGUAGUGCAGGGAAAGAGUCGUUGUCAAACUAUUAUGUUUGAGUGCAGCACAGCUCUAUCAGUACUAACAAGUACAUCUUAUUGAACAUAAUUUGAAUGCCUUCAGCAGAAUUCAAAUGAGCCAUUUUAAUCUAGAUUAAUCUAGAUUAAUUCCAGGAUUACAGUGAGAUUAAUCUAGAUUUAAAAAAUUAAUCUAUGCCCACCACUAAUUUUAACAUACAUCGCAAACCAUAACCCCCCCCACCCCCGGCCACCCUCUUUUGAGCCAGUGCCCCAGACUGCCCACCACAUUUAAAAUGCUCUAGACACACCCCUGCAUGUCAUGUCCUGUCGGCUUAUACCAAUUUUCAUUCGUAUACCUUAAAAGGCAUUGUUUUGCUGAAUGAUAUAUUAGCAGUCACAUGAUAAGGUGUUGCUUGGUUUCACACUAGAAUGAAGUCACAUUAUGUGAAGUCAAUGUGUUACUUUCCAAAUCACCUGACAAGCAAAAUUUAACAAAGCUUCAACAAAUGUUUAGCACUUGCUGGACUUAACCAUGUUUAUAAUAAGUUAAAAGUAUUAUCAGGCUUUUGAAUGAAACUGUGAGCUCAUAGCAUCUCAUCACACACUGUUGCUUUUCAGAAGCUAGUUCAUGAGCAAUUUCCACAUGAUACAUUGUGGUAAAUGAGUUUUCGUGCAGUUCUUUCUCAUGUUAGAUCAGCGUUGACAGGGCAAAAGAGGAGGAACCAAGUUAGUGAUUCUCCAGGAAACAUACAUUUGGUUGGUUAUUGUCUUAAAAGUUCUAUACUAGUAUGAGAGGAACACAACAAACUAACUGUAGCUGCUCUGGAGCGUCACUAUUUCAUUUACUCUGUGUAUUUAAUCAUGUCAGACCUCUCUAAGGCAGGUCACUUUGUAUUUUAUUCCCUGAUGCUGCUUAUUUUCACCGGUUUUGUGAACAAAUUCUCUACGGCGUGUGUAUGAUAAUUCUACAGGAAGAAACACUGAAACACUGACUGUAGUUA